RNAcentral lists this ribosomal RNA (394 nucleotides) under uncultured bacterium. Its description in RNAcentral is "bacterial SSU rRNA". It matches the Rfam family "Bacterial small subunit ribosomal RNA", at positions 30 to 424 of the family's 1533-position model. The record is from RNAcentral.
AUUGAACGCUGGCGGCAUGCCUUACACAUGCAAGUCGAACGGUAACGGGCCUUCGGGUGCCGACGAGUGGCGAACGGGUGAGUAAUGCAUCGGGAACGUACCUUUCAGUGGGGGAUAACGUAGCGAAAGUUACGCUAAUACCGCAUAUUCUGUGAGCAGGAAAGCAGGGGAUCGCAAGACCUUGCGCUGAUUGAGCGGCCGAUGUCAGAUUAGCUAGUUGGUGAGGUAAAGGCUCACCAAGGCGACGAUCUGUAGCGGGUCUGAGAGGAUGAUCCGCCACACUGGAACUGAGACACGGUCCAGACUCCUACGGGAGGCAGCAGUGGGGAAUUUUGGACAAAUGGGGGGCAAACCCUGAUCCAGCCAUGCCGCGUGAGUGAAGAAGGCCUCGGUU